GGCUUUAGACCCGAAACCGAGUGAUCUAGCCAUGUGCAGGAUGAAGGUGGGGUAACACCCACUGGAGGUCCGAACCAGUGCCCGUUGAAAAGGUCUUGGAUGACGUGUGGCUAGGGGUGAAAGGCCAAUCAAACUCGGAAAUAGCUGGUUCUCCGCGAAAGCUAUUUAGGUAGCGCCUCGCGUGUAUGUCCCAGGGGGUAGAGCACUGGAUGGGCUAGGGGGACCAAAAUCUUACUGAACUCAACCAAACUCCGAAUGCCGGUAAGUGAGAGCGUGGCAGUGAGACUG
Molecule: ribosomal RNA, 288 nt
Filed under: Pycnococcus provasolii
Lineage: Eukaryota; Viridiplantae; Chlorophyta; Pseudoscourfieldiophyceae; Pseudoscourfieldiales; Pycnococcaceae
Description: partial Bacterial large subunit ribosomal RNA
Rfam family: Bacterial large subunit ribosomal RNA
Source: RNAcentral